Molecule: long non-coding RNA, 1148 nt
Organism: Gallus gallus (chicken)
Lineage: Eukaryota; Metazoa; Chordata; Aves; Galliformes; Phasianidae
Source: Ensembl
CUUCUAAUUGUGUCUUCAGUGUUUUCCCUUCUGUGUUCAUUUCUAAUUCAGGGCAGUAUUUUUCCUCUUAUUCUGUCCAUGGCUAGUGUCUUUCCUACUGCACUGUGUGCUUUCUGUUUAAGCCUUUUACAAACUGCAAGAAUAUUUUAUGGAGUAAUUCAUCUCUCCUUUUCCUCCCUGUUUCUCUCAGAAAGUUAUAAAGUUGUUCUUCCAUCUCAACUUCCUACCUACAACUUGAGUGAAGGUCGCUGAUUGGAAAAGCAGUGUCCUAAGGUGCCUUCAGAGAAGUGCCUUACAAAAACGGUUGUAAACUUAGAAUAUUAAACAGCAUUAUCAUGCAAAAUUAACAGUUUAUAUCCUAACACCAGGUCCACUUGCUUCAGUGGGACUCCAGGCAAGCCAGUAUGAGAAAUGAGGAACAUGAGAGCCCAUCUUUUCAGUAUCUCAUUUUGAAUAACUGAUGAAGACAUAAGGAUCUGGAGGAGGUGUUCCCUGAUAUCUUGAAAUCAGCUGUGUUGUAAUACUGUUCACUGCUGCCAAUUGCUGUGAAGAAGCACUACAUCAAGGAGACUCAGUCUAGUCUUCUGCUGUGAUUGGGAGGAAAAAAACUCCAGUAGUUUUAGAACAGUUCCCAAAACAGAAAGAGAAAAGAAGAAGAAAAGAAGAAUUGAAAAGGAGGAAAAAUGCUGGAAGUGCUUGAUUAAGGUAAAAGACAUGGAGCCAUAUUUUUGUCUGAAGGAAUUGAACAGGACUAUUUUUGAGCAGUCAGAGUGACUCCUAAAAGGUGAUUUUUAUUUCCUCUAAAGCUGAGUGCAACAAAGAAGUGUAUAUAUGUCAUUUUCAUUAAAAAAAGAAUACAUAAAUAAAUAAACAAAGGGGAAAAAAAGAAUUUAAAAUCUUCCUAAAUAACAGAAGGCAGCAAAUCUAAGCUAGGCCAAUGCAGAUCUUAAACCCUGAGGCUCAGCUUUUCCUGCUCAAAUGACUCAUUAUCUGGACUGGGUGACACCUCCGGCAUUUCUUUCCUGUGGGUCUCAGGCAGCUUCUUGUUUUCCCUCACUAUUUCCCAACAUGAGUAUUCCCCGCUCACACAGCUUCAGUUCCUAUUGUAAAACAUGCUGCAGAAACAGGAAGAUCUUAAGAAAACAAGC